This 393-nucleotide long non-coding RNA is filed under the name Olea europaea (common olive). Its description in RNAcentral is "long non-coding RNA (OEUR_LNC009584)". The record is from RNAcentral. Lineage: Eukaryota; Viridiplantae; Streptophyta; Magnoliopsida; Lamiales; Oleaceae.
GUGAAUGGCGUGGCUAGAAUUGAAGGGGGCUAAUGAAAAAUAGCUGGUUAAAAGAAGAUUGCGAGCAUUUAUAGCCUCUGCCUCCGCCUUAUUAAUAGUAUGAAAAUGGUCAAUUAAGUUCCUUGAAUAGCAAGGAGGAACAGGCCAAGUUUGGCCGAAACCAAGCUGGCGAGCAAAAAAUUGGGGAGCAUAAAUUUCUACCCCUGCCUUGGCAUUGGUCCCAGUUAAAAUAUCAUGAAAUAGCUCCCUCCUGGUUAAAAACUGGAUCCAAAUAAGCAGGGAGGUGCUCGCGCUGUCUAUAGUGGAGGGGGGAUGUACAUAGUUUGGUGUCAAAAAAGGAGGAAAAGGAAAAAAGGAAGAGAUUGAAUCCAAAGAAUAAAAGAAUGAAAAAAU